Molecule: transfer RNA, 76 nt
Filed under: Candidatus Niyogibacteria bacterium CG10_big_fil_rev_8_21_14_0_10_42_19
Lineage: Bacteria; Candidatus Niyogiibacteriota
Description: tRNA-Ile
Rfam family: tRNA
About the family: Transfer RNA (tRNA) molecules are approximately 80 nucleotides in length.
Source: RNAcentral
GGGCAUGUAGCUCAAUUGGCAGAGCGAGCGUCUUAUACACGCUUGGUUCCAGGUUCAAGUCCUGGCAUGCCCACUA